CCGAGUUUACAACUCCCAAACCCCUGUGAACAUACCACUUGUUGCCUCGGCGGAUCAGCCCGCUCCCGGUAAAACGGGACGGCCCGCCAGAAGACCCCUAAACUCUGUUUCUAUAUGUAACUUCUGAGUAAAACCAUAAAUAAAUCA
Molecule: unclassified non-coding RNA, 147 nt
Filed under: soil metagenome
Description: partial internal transcribed spacer 1
Source: RNAcentral